GCCUGCUUAACUCAAUUGGUAGAGUAUCGGUUUUGUAAACCGAAUGUUAACGGUUCAAGUCCGUUAGCAGGCU
RNAcentral lists this transfer RNA (73 nucleotides) under Watanabea reniformis. RNAcentral's name for it is "tRNA-Thr". It matches the Rfam family "tRNA". Rfam says of the family: Transfer RNA (tRNA) molecules are approximately 80 nucleotides in length. RNAcentral also lists the same sequence under 1 other name. The record is from RNAcentral. Lineage: Eukaryota; Viridiplantae; Chlorophyta; Trebouxiophyceae; Watanabeales; Watanabeaceae.